Molecule: ribosomal RNA, 410 nt
Filed under: uncultured microorganism
Description: bacterial SSU rRNA
Rfam family: Bacterial small subunit ribosomal RNA
Source: RNAcentral
CAGCAGCCGCGGUAAUUCGUAGGGUGCGAGCGUUAAUCGGAUUUACUGGGCGUAAAGCGUGCGCAGGCGGCCCGUUAAGACAGGUGUGAAAUCCCUGGGCUCAACCUAGGAAUUGCGCUUGUGACUGGCGGGCUCGAGUACGGUAGAGGGGGGUGGAAUUCCUGGUGUAGCCGUGAAAUGCGUAGAGAUCAGGAGGAACACCGAUGGCGAGGGCAGCCCCCUGGGCCUGUACUGACGCUCAUGCACGAAAGCGGGGGGAGCAAACAGGAUUAGAUACCCGGGUAGUCCACGCCCUAAACGAUGGGUACUAGCCGUUUGGUGCGCGAUAGCGCUGAGUGGCGAAGCUAACGCGUGAAGUACCCCGCCUGGGGAGUACGGCCGCAAGGUUGAAACUUAAAGGAAUUGGCGGG